GGGUUGUGAGGUUAAGCGACUAAGCGUACACGGUGGAUGCCCUGGCAGUCAGAGGCGAUGAAGGACGUGCUAAUCUGCGAUAAGCGUCGGUAAGGUGAUAUGAACCGUUAUAACCGGCGAUUUCCGAAUGGGGAAACCCAGUGUGAUUCGUCACACUAUCAUUAACUGAAUCCAUAGGUUAAUGAGGCGAACCGGGGGAACUGAAACAUCUAAGUACCCCGAGGAAAAGAAAUCAACCGAGAUUCCCCCAGUAGCGGCGAGCGAACGGGGAGCAGCCCAGAGCCUGAAUCAGUGUGUGUGUUAGUGGAAGCGUCUGGAAAGGCGCGCGAUACAGGGUGACAGCCCCGUACACAAAAAUGCACAUGCUGUGAGCUCGAUGAGUAGGGCGGGACACGUGGUAUCCUGUCUGAAUAUGGGGGGACCAUCCUCCAAGGCUAAAUACUCCUGACUGACCGAUAGUGAACCAGUACCGUGAGGGAAAGGCGAAAAGAACCCCGGCGAGGGGAGUGAAAAAGAACCUGAAACCGUGUACGUACAAGCAGUGGGAGCACAGAGCAAUCUGUGUGACUGCGUACCUUUUGUAUAAUGGGUCAGCGACUUAUAUUCUGUAGCAAGGUUAACCGAAUAGGGGAGCCGAAGGGAAACCGAGUCUUAACUGGGCGUUAAGUUGCAGGGUAUAGACCCGAAACCCGGUGAUCUAGCCAUGGGCAGGUUGAAGGUUGGGUAACACUAACUGGAGGACCGAACCGACUAAUGUUGAAAAAUUAGCGGAUGACUUGUGGCUGGGGGUGAAAGGCCAAUCAAACCGGGAGAUAGCUGGUUCUCCCCGAAAGCUAUUUAGGUAGCGCCUCGUGAAUUCAUCUCCGGGGGUAGAGCACUGUUUCGGCAAGGGGGUCAUCCCGACUUACCAACCCGAUGCAAACUGCGAAUACCGGAGAAUGUUAUCACGGGAGACACACGGCGGGUGCUAACGUCCGUCGUGAAGAGGGAAACAACCCAGACCGCCAGCUAAGGUCCCAAAGUCAUGGUUAAGUGGGAAACGAUGUGGGAAGGCCCAGACAGCCAGGAUGUUGGCUUAGAAGCAGCCAUCAUUUAAAGAAAGCGUAAUAGCUCACUGGUCGAGUCGGCCUGCGCGGAAGAUGUAACGGGGCUAAACCAUGCACCGAAGCUGCGGCAGCGACACUAUGUGUUGUUGGGUAGGGGAGCGUUCUGUAAGCCUGUGAAGGUGUACUGUGAGGUAUGCUGGAGGUAUCAGAAGUGCGAAUGCUGACAUAAGUAACGAUAAAGCGGGUGAAAAGCCCGCUCGCCGGAAGACCAAGGGUUCCUGUCCAACGUUAAUCGGGGCAGGGUGAGUCGACCCCUAAGGCGAGGCCGAAAGGCGUAGUCGAUGGGAAACAGGUUAAUAUUCCUGUACUUGGUGUUACUGCGAAGGGGGGACGGAGAAGGCUAUGUUGGCCGGGCGACGGUUGUCCCGGUUUAAGCGUGUAGGCUGGUUUUCCAGGCAAAUCCGGAAAAUCAAGGCUGAGGCGUGAUGACGAGGCACUACGGUGCUGAAGCAACAAAUGCCCUGCUUCCAGGAAAAGCCUCUAAGCAUCAGGUAACAUCAAAUCGUACCCCAAACCGACACAGGUGGUCAGGUAGAGAAUACCAAGGCGCUUGAGAGAACUCGGGUGAAGGAACUAGGCAAAAUGGUGCCGUAACUUCGGGAGAAGGCACGCUGAUAUGUAGGUGAAGUCCCUCGCGGAUGGAGCUGAAAUCAGUCGAAGAUACCAGCUGGCUGCAACUGUUUAUUAAAAACACAGCACUGUGCAAACACGAAAGUGGACGUAUACGGUGUGACGCCUGCCCGGUGCCGGAAGGUUAAUUGAUGGGGUCAGCGCAAGCGAAGCUCUUGAUCGAAGCCCCGGUAAACGGCGGCCGUAACUAUAACGGUCCUAAGGUAGCGAAAUUCCUUGUCGGGUAAGUUCCGACCUGCACGAAUGGCGUAAUGAUGGCCAGGCUGUCUCCACCCGAGACUCAGUGAAAUUGAACUCGCUGUGAAGAUGCAGUGUACCCGCGGCAAGACGGAAAGACCCCGUGAACCUUUACUAUAGCUUGACACUGAACAUUGAGCCUUGAUGUGUAGGAUAGGUGGGAGGCUUUGAAGUGUGGACGCCAGUCUGCAUGGAGCCGACCUUGAAAUACCACCCUUUAAUGUUUGAUGUUCUAACGUUGACCCGUGAUCCGGGUUGCGGACAGUGUCUGGUGGGUAGUUUGACUGGGGCGGUCUCCUCCUAAAGAGUAACGGAGGAGCACGAAGGUUGGCUAAUCCUGGUCGGACAUCAGGAGGUUAGUGCAAUGGCAUAAGCCAGCUUGACUGCGAGCGUGACGGCGCGAGCAGGUGCGAAAGCAGGUCAUAGUGAUCCGGUGGUUCUGAAUGGAAGGGCCAUCGCUCAACGGAUAAAAGGUACUCCGGGGAUAACAGGCUGAUACCGCCCAAGAGUUCAUAUCGACGGCGGUGUUUGGCACCUCGAUGUCGGCUCAUCACAUCCUGGGGCUGAAGUAGGUCCCAAGGGUAUGGCUGUUCGCCAUUUAAAGUGGUACGCGAGCUGGGUUUAGAACGUCGUGAGACAGUUCGGUCCCUAUCUGCCGUGGGCGCUGGAGAACUGAGGGGGGCUGCUCCUAGUACGAGAGGACCGGAGUGGACGCAUCACUGGUGUUCGGGUUGUCAUGCCAAUGGCACUGCCCGGUAGCUAAAUGCGGAAGAGAUAAGUGCUGAAAGCAUCUAAGCACGAAACUUGCCCCGAGAUGAGUUCUCCCUGACCCUUUAAGGGUCCUGAAGGAACGUUGAAGACGACGACGUUGAUAGGCCGGGUGUGUAAGCGCAGCGAUGCGUUGAGCUAACCGGUACUAAUGAACCGUGAGGCUUAACCUUACAACGCCGAAG
Molecule: ribosomal RNA, 2926 nt
Filed under: Escherichia coli
Lineage: Bacteria; Pseudomonadati; Pseudomonadota; Gammaproteobacteria; Enterobacterales; Enterobacteriaceae
Description: 23S ribosomal RNA
Rfam family: Bacterial large subunit ribosomal RNA
Source: RNAcentral